Molecule: ribosomal RNA, 253 nt
Filed under: uncultured bacterium
Lineage: Bacteria
Description: partial 16S ribosomal RNA
Rfam family: Bacterial small subunit ribosomal RNA
Source: RNAcentral
UACGUAGGGGGCGAGCGUUGUCCGGAAUCAUUGGGCGUAAAGCGCGUGUAGGCGGUCCGGUAAGUCCGCUGUGAAAGUCGGGGGCUCAACCCUCGGAUGCCGGUGGAUACUGUCGGGCUUGAGUACGGAAGAGGCGAGCGGAAUUCCGGGUGUAGCGGUGAAAUGCGUAGAUAUCAGGAGGAACACCGGUGGCGAAGGCGCCUAUCUGGCCCGAUACUGACGCUGAGGCGCGAAAGCUAGGGGAGCAAACGGG